This 486-nucleotide ribosomal RNA is filed under the name uncultured bacterium. Its description in RNAcentral is "bacterial SSU rRNA". It matches the Rfam family "Bacterial small subunit ribosomal RNA", at positions 31 to 507 of the family's 1533-position model. The record is from RNAcentral.
GAACGCUAGCGGCAGGCUUAACACAUGCAAGUCGAGGGGCAGCAUGACGAAACUUCGGGUUUGUUGAUGGCGACCGGCGCAAGGGUGCGUAACGCGUGAGCAACUUGCCCUUAUCGAGGGGGAUAACCGGUGGAAACGCCGACUAAUACCCCAUAGUAUUGGCUUUAGGCAUCUUUAGUCAAUUAAAGAAUUUCGGAUAAGGAUAGGCUCGCGUGACAUUAGCUAGAUGGCGGGGUAACGGCCCACCAUGGCAACGAUGUCUAGGGGUUCUGAGAGGAAGGUCCCCCACACUGGAACUGAGACACGGUCCAGACUCCUACGGGAGGCAGCAGUGAGGAAUAUUGGUCAAUGGUCAGACGACUGAACCAGCCAUGCCGCGUGAAGGUGACGGCCCUAUGGGUCUUAAACUUCUUUUGCAAGGGAGCAAUAAGAGCUACGUGUAGCUUGAUGAGAGUACCUUGCGAAUAAGCAUCGGCUAACUCCGUG